GUCUGUGGCCAUACCACCCUGAGCACACCGAUCUCGUCUGAUCUCGGAAGCUAAGCAGGGUCGGGCCUGGUUAGUACUUGGAUGGGGGACACCUGGGUGCGGAGGGAGGGCAGGGUCA
RNAcentral lists this ribosomal RNA (118 nucleotides) under Microcebus murinus (gray mouse lemur). The record is from RNAcentral. Lineage: Eukaryota; Metazoa; Chordata; Mammalia; Primates; Cheirogaleidae.